RNAcentral lists this ribosomal RNA (1684 nucleotides) under Clostridioides difficile. Its description in RNAcentral is "bacterial LSU rRNA". It matches the Rfam family "Bacterial large subunit ribosomal RNA", at positions 1228 to 2925 of the family's 2925-position model. The record is from RNAcentral. Lineage: Bacteria; Bacillati; Bacillota; Clostridia; Peptostreptococcales; Peptostreptococcaceae.
GUAGGGGAGCUUCCCAUACGGGUUGAAGCAUGACCGUAAGGACAUGUGGACAGUAUGGGAGUGAGAAUGUUGGCAUGAGUAGCGAGAUGUGGGUGAGAAUCCCACAGGCCGUAAACCCAAGGUUUCCAGGGGAAGGUUCGUCCGCCCUGGGUUAGUCGGGACCUAAGCUGAGGCCGAAAGGCGUAGGUGAUGGACAACAGGUUGAUAUUCCUGUACUACCGAUAACCGUUUGAGAGAAGGGAUGACACAGUAGGAUAAGCUAAGCACACUGUUGGUUAUGUGUGCCCAAGCAUUGAGGCAGUCAAAGUAGGCAAAUCCGCUUUGAUAAUGCUGGGAUGUGAUGGGGAGCGAAAUUUAGUAGCGAAGUAGCUGAUUUCACACUGUCAAGAAAAGUCUCUAUCGAGGUUAAAGGUACCCGUACCGCAAACCGACACAGGUGGGUGAGGAGAGUAUCCUAAGGCCAGCGAGAGAACUGUUGUUAAGGAACUCGGCAAAAUGACCCCGUAACUUAGGGAUAAGGGGUGCCACCAUCAGGUGGCCGCAGAGAAUAGGCCCAAGCGACUGUUUACCAAAAACAUAGGUUUCUGCUAAGUCGCAAGACGAUGUAUAGGAGCUGACGCCUGCCCGGUGCUGGAAGGUUAAGGGGAUCUGUUAGAGCAAUCGAAGCAGUGAACUUAAGCCCCAGUAAACGGCGGCCGUAACUAUAACGGUCCUAAGGUAGCGAAAUUCCUUGUCGGGUAAGUUCCGACCCGCACGAAAGGCGUAACGAUUUGGGCACUGUCUCAACAACAGACUCGGUGAAAUUGUAAUUCCGGUGAAGAUGCCGGAUACCUGCGACAGGACGGAAAGACCCCAUGGAGCUUUACUGUAGCUUGACAUUGGGUCUUGGUACUACAUGUACAGGAUAGGUGGGAGGCUUUGAAACCAGGACGCCAGUUUUGGCGGAGCCAUCCUUGGGAUACCACCCUUGUAGUACUGGGACUCUAACCAUAGACCAUGAAUCUGGUCUUGGGACACUGUCAGGUGGGCAGUUUGACUGGGGCGGUCGCCUCCCAAAAGGUAACGGAGGCGCUCAAAGGUUCUCUCAGUACGGUCGGAAAUCGUACGUAGAGUGUAAAGGCAAAAGAGAGCUUGAUUGCAAGACAUACAGGUCGAGCAAGGAUGAAAAUCGGACUUAGUGAUCCGGUGGUUCUGCGUGGAAGGGCCAUCGCUCAACGGAUAAAAGCUACCCUGGGGAUAACAGGCUUAUCUCCCCCAAGAGUCCACAUCGACGGGGAGGUUUGGCACCUCGAUGUCGGCUCAUCACAUCCUGGGGCUGUAGUAGGUCCCAAGGGUUGGGCUGUUCGCCCAUUAAAGUGGUACGCGAGCUGGGUUCAGAACGUCGUGAGACAGUUCGGUCCCUAUCCGUCGCAGGCGUAGGAAAUUUGAGAAGACCUGUCCUUAGUACGAGAGGACCGGGAUGGACGUACCUCUGGUGUACCAGUUGUCCUGCCAAGGGCAUGGCUGGGUAGCUAUGUACGGAAUGGAUAAGCGCUGAAAGCAUCUAAGCGCGAAGCCAACUUCAAGAUAAGAUUUCCCACCGCAAGGGUAAGACCCCAGAAAGACUAUCUGGUUGAUAGGUCGAAGGUGUAAGUGCAGCAAUGUAUUUAGCUUAUCGAUACUAAUAGGUCGAGGACUUGACCAA